This is a long non-coding RNA of Girardinichthys multiradiatus, 1037 nucleotides long. RefSeq lists it as uncharacterized. Lineage: Eukaryota; Metazoa; Chordata; Actinopteri; Cyprinodontiformes; Goodeidae. The record is from RefSeq and is a predicted model, not a curated record. The transcript is spliced from 2 exons.
UUAAGAUUUGUUUCCUUAGUGGGAAAUUUUCUUAAAAGUCGAAGAAAUGUUGCGGCUACCGAACGGGCGCAGGCUGUAAUUAAUUUCUCGCCAGAAGACACAACAAACAAACCCGGAGACACACUGACCCACGCAGCUAGCUGUAGCCACGGCUAACAAAAGUAAAGGCGGACCGGGGCUCCGGUAGUCCUGAGCUAUUUACGGUUGUUCCGAAGGCCCCGGUGCUAUGACAACAGCUGGUGAAACACCGCGGAGGGACGGCGAACAUAGAGACCGUUAGGGCGAAGAGACAACACGGUCAAUGCUAAGGAAGGUUUAGCUACUUUUCCCCUCCUCCGUAACCCUCCUUUAAUAGGACUCCGUAUCAGGGGCAACACUUACAGACAACAAGGCUGCCAGGGCGAGCAGGCGCUUUGCAGGAACCGGGGGAGUGUAGCACUCUGCGGCGGCCAGAUGUUUCCGAGCUUGUUGCUGCUGAACUCAAGCCGGGGAAGGAGGCGAGUUAACUGGCACGGCACGGAAGCCAGCGGUGCCGGUGAGGAGGAGGAGGAUGGGGAGAAAAAAGUGAAGGCCGUCUCACAGUGGAGAAGAAGGAGAGGGAGGGAUAAGUCUUCUUUUUCUCUCGUUGGCGUAGGUUGACACCAGGCAACAACAACAGCAGCGGCGGCAGCAGUACACACACACAGCGAGGAGGCAGGAAAAGAAGACGCUGGGCCAAACCAACUGGUUCUGCGAGUCAGCGGGGCGGACUGGCGCAGCACAGAGCGAGAAGAGAGAGGCGCGAUGCGCUCUGGGUACUGUAGUCAAGGAGGAAGGUGGUGGGGAGGCGGAGCUAAUAAGAGCAGGUGCACCACCUUGACUGGAGGGAGAACAAAAACAGCUGGAGCCGGAUCCCUCUUAAUGUUUAAUUGUUGGAAUAACGGAAAUAUUCACUCAGGUCUUAAUCAGUGGCUUAACAGCUGUGCCUCCGCCAGAAGUGUGUGUUUAGUUCUCAUAAUGAGUAAACAGAUGUAAUAAAUGACUCAUAUGAUACCACA